UAUACCAUUGAACUAAAAAUAACUGGAACGCUACGUUCAAGCGGAAAUUUGAAGCUAAAUUCUACAAGGUCGUACACAGGCUUUAAAAGGCCCGUUUUAAAUUGAAAAGGCCCGUUUCCCUUUCGAUUUGCAUCCUGCCAUGAAAACGUUCAAAACGGCAUGCUUCGAGCGCCCCCUGCAUUGUCUCGCGAGUAAAUCGCGCAGUAGAAACACGCGUGGAAGUGCGUGUCUGGGAGUCAAAACUGGCUUCAUUUGGCUUCAUGGGAGUCAAAUUUUGGCUUCAAAAUUUGCAUGCGCAGUUUACUGAACGUAGCGUUCCAGUUAUUUUUAGUUCAAUGGGUUAUACAUUUAAUACAUAUAUCAGCGGUCUAAGACAAUCAGUCAUGUUAUACUUUAAUUAAGUAAGCAAUCGUGAUGACAUCGUAAAUCAAAACAAUG
This is a non-coding RNA of Paramuricea clavata, 438 nucleotides long. The record is from the annotation of a GenBank genome assembly. NCBI's taxonomy places the organism in Eukaryota, Metazoa, Cnidaria, Anthozoa, Malacalcyonacea, Plexauridae.